UUCAGAUAAUGGUUGAUGGAACGACUAUUCACAACUUCACAGAGAAAACGCCGGGCGCCAAGCCGGAUUCCUUCUCAAUGAAGGACGACAUACAACCACAUCAAGUAGAAGCUGUAGCCUGAAGGAACGAGGUGACGCGACGACAUACAACCACAUCAAGUAGAAGCUGUAGCCUGAAGGAACGAGGUGACGCGACGACAUACAACCACAUCAGGUAGAAGCUGUAGCCCGAAGGAACGAGGUGACGCGACGACAUACAAACACAUCAAGUAGAAGCUGUAGCCCGAAGGAACGAGGUGAUGCGACGACAUACAGCCACAUCAAGUAGAAGCUGUAGCCUGAAGGAACGAGGUGACGCGACGACAUACAACCACAUCAAGUAGAAGCUGUAGCCUGAAGGAACGAGGUGACGCGCACCUUGAUUCAAUGUUUUUGGUAACGGAGGACGACAUACAACCACAUCAAGUAGAAGCUGUAGCCUGAAGGAACGAGGUGACGCGACGACAUACAACCACAUCAAGUAGAAGCUGUAGCCUGAAGGAACGAGGUGACGCGCACCUUGAUUCAAUGUUUUUGGUAACGGAGGACGACAUACAACCACAUCAAGUAGAAGCUGUAGCCUGAAGGAACGAGGUGACGCGCACCUUGAUUCAAUGUUUUUGGUAACGGAGGACGACAUACAAACACAUCAAGUAGAAGCUGUAGCCUGAAGGAACGAGGUGACGCGCACCUUGAUUCAAUGUUUUUGGUAACGGAGGACGACAUACAACCACAUCAAGUAGAAGCUGUAGCCUGAAGGAACGAGGUGACGCGCACCUUGAUUCAAUGUUUUUGGUAACGGAGGACGACAUAAAAACACAUCAAGUAGAAGCUGUAGCCUGAAGGAACGAGGUGACGCGCACCUUGAUUCAAUGUUUUUGGUAACGGAGGACGACAUACAAACACAUCAAGUAGAAGCUGUAGCCUGAAGGAACGAGGUGACGCGCACCUUGAUUCAAUGUAUUUGGUAACGGAGGACGAUAUACAACCUCAUCAAGUAGAAGCUGUAGCCUGAAGGAACGAGGUGACGCGCACCUUGAUUCAAUGUUUUUGGUAACGGAGGACGACAUACAACCACAUCAAGUAGAAGCUGUAGCCUGAAGGAACGAGGUGACGCGCACCUUGAUUCAAUGUUUUUGGUAACGGAGGACGACAUACAAACACAUCAAGAAGAAGCUGUAGCCUGAAGGAACGAGGUGACGCGCACCUUGAUUCAAUGUUUUUGGUAACGGAGGACGACAUACAAACACAUCAAGUAGAAGCUGUAGCCUGAAGGAACGAGGUGACGCGCACCUUGAUUCAAUGUUUUUGGUAACGGAGGACGACAUACAACCACAUCAAGUAGAAGCUGUAGCCUGAAGGAACGAGGUGACGCGCACCUUGAUUCAAUGUUUUUGGUAACGGAGGACGACAUACAAACACAUCAAGUAGAAGCUGUAGCCUGAAGGAACGAGGUGACGCGCACCUUGAUUCAAUGUAUUUAGUUACGGAGGACGACAUACAAACACAUCAAGUAGAAGCUGUAGCCUGAAGGAACGAGGUGACGCGCACCUUGAUUCAAUGUUUUUGGUAACGGAGGACGACAUACAAACACAUCAAGUAGAAGCUGUAAGCCUGAAGGAACGAGGUGACGCGCACCUUGAUUCAAUGUAUUUGGUAACGGAGGACGACA
Long non-coding RNA from Haliotis rufescens (red abalone), 1711 nucleotides. RefSeq lists it as uncharacterized. Lineage: Eukaryota; Metazoa; Mollusca; Gastropoda; Lepetellida; Haliotidae. The record is from RefSeq and is a predicted model, not a curated record. The transcript is spliced from 2 exons.